Esox lucius (northern pike) is the source of this 477-nucleotide long non-coding RNA. RefSeq lists it as uncharacterized. Lineage: Eukaryota; Metazoa; Chordata; Actinopteri; Esociformes; Esocidae. The transcript is spliced from 3 exons. The record is from RefSeq and is a predicted model, not a curated record.
GGUAUACACAACUUGUUACAGUACUUUGGUUGUUGUUCUAAAAGUGACUUUGAGGAGAUGUUUUCUGAGGUACCCUGACAUGGGGACCUACAUCUUGACCUACAUCUGUUGCAAUAGUGGCAGUGGUCCCUCCCCUAUCCAAAGGGUUUUGAAGAGUAGGAGGAGAGACGAGGUGUAUCCAAAUGAGAAUCUCCCCCCACUGACCUCUGUUGACUCCCAUCUGUUUUGAGAUCAAGGAGCUGACGACUCCUCGCGUGACCCGUUCACACGCACGCAGACACACAUGGUCCGCACGGAUGAGGCCGAUGUUUCGACAGAGUUGAGAUGCUGCCAAUGUGUCCGACAACACUUGUUUGAAUCUGAUCGUUACACGCGCCAGCUCUGGCAAUAUCCGGCUGACAGCGUGAGGGAAUUUCAAGAGCGCCCCUAAUUGUUUUUUUUCCUCAAAGUUCUGAGUUUAACAGCAGAGCAGAAUCC